GGCUUGUUAGCUCAAUUGGUAGAGCGCUGCACUACUAUCGCAGAGGUCAGUGGUUCGAAUCCCGUACAGGCCU
RNAcentral lists this transfer RNA (73 nucleotides) under Stylophora pistillata. Its description in RNAcentral is "tRNA-Ser". It matches the Rfam family "tRNA". From Rfam's summary of the family: Transfer RNA (tRNA) molecules are approximately 80 nucleotides in length. Their secondary structure includes four short double-helical elements and three loops (D, anti-codon, and T loops). Further hydrogen bonds mediate the characteristic L-shaped molecular structure. tRNAs have two regions of fundamental functional importance: the anti-codon, which is responsible for specific mRNA codon recognition, and the 3' end, to which the tRNAs corresponding amino acid is attached (by aminoacyl-tRNA synthetases). tRNAs cope with the degeneracy of the genetic code in two manners: having more than one tRNA (with a specific anti-codon) for a particular amino acid; and 'wobble' base-pairing, i.e. permitting non-standard base-pairing at the 3rd anti-codon position. The record is from Rfam by way of RNAcentral. Lineage: Eukaryota; Metazoa; Cnidaria; Anthozoa; Scleractinia; Pocilloporidae.